CCCACCAACUCACAGGGCCAUAACAAAAGAUGUACAGUGUUUUUCCCCCAUCUCAGAAUGAUGUAGCCAGGCCCUUCUGCAGAACCAGUUGUGGAGUGAAGUCUGCAUAAGACUUAUUUUCAGUACAACAUUUGACAUGGCUUUGUUGUCAUUUUGUGUAUUUUAGAAUCUCCUCUGGUGAGUCAUUCCUCUGACAGUCCUGUGAUGGGUUGCUCAGGCCUUGAGUCAAAUGAUACCAUAAGUAAAGGACUAGUAGUCCAAUUUGGUAGCAGUUACAGUACAGUUACAGUAUUGUCCCCUUGUCACUAUGAGGAUUUGUCACACUAUAUGGUCAACGAUCCAAAAGAGAGAGCCAGCUAUCUGACUCUCACUGUCAUGAUCAUGACACUCACUUUGACUCCUACAUCAAAUGGAAACCCUGCAGUGCGACAAAUCCUUUAAUUGUGUAAACUAACCACCCUCAGAGAGCGGCGGCCAUGUGCCUCACACUUCAGGGAUUUUCCAUACUUGGAUCUUGCUAGAUGAGGGUGCAAAUUUGAUUACCUAAUCAUUAACAUUGAACAUUGUAUUCUUCUGAGGAUAUCACCACUGCGCAGGGUGAGAGAGAUGUAUGCACAAGGCAUUGUCUCCUUGUUCCCAUACUUGAAGGAUCCCUACCAUGAAAAUGGAUAUGUAAGUAAACAUUACAACUGAUAAAGGGCAUCUAUGUUUCAUUUCUCUGGUAUGGUAUCUGAGGAAAUAAGACUUGGUUAUUCAUUUUUCCUUUAGAGGGGCACUGUCAUGCUAGGUUAACUUAAGGUUAUUUGAAUUGAAUGCUUAAGUCAUAGGCCUAUAUAUACAGAGGUGGAAAAAAAGUUUUCGGACACCCCAUGCAUUUGUGAAAUAUUGCAUUAAGAAUCACUCUUAGGUCUUCAAGUGCAAUUUCUUUUAGUAUAGUCACAGCCAAAAUACUAAAUAAAUCCUAAAAAAGCCAUUAAAAACUUAAAAUUGAUUGGUUCCAUAAAAAUACAUAAGAAAUUUUGGGUAUUGGGUCAUUUUGGUACCAGUGAUGAAGGUCGUUCUUUUUAUUAAAAGACAAUUUUUGUUGCUAAGCUUCGUGUCUACAUAAAGCCAGCACAUUUGAAAGUUCUUCAGACACAAAAAUGGCUAAAACAAGGAACCUAACGCAGGAAACACGCCUGAAGAUAAAGAUUCUCAGCCAGGAAGGGUACAGCUGCUGCCAGAUAGCCAGGAAGUGCAGAUGCAGUCCUUCAGCAGUUGGAUACACUCUGCAGAAAUACAGACGAACCAACAGCUUGGAAGACAAACCAAGAUCUGGGCGUCCAAGGGUUUCUUCAGCAAGAAAUGACCGCAUCCUGAUCUGCAUGUGCAGGCAAAACGGCCGAAUGACAUCACAGGAGCUUCAGCAGCAGUGGUCAAACCAAACUGGUGUCCAGUGUUCCACUUGCACUGUACGUGACCGACUUUUAGAUCAUGGCUUAAGGUCCUACAAGGCUAUCAAGAAGCCCCUGAUCAAUGAGAGACAGAGGUUAGCCUGGCGUCAUUGGGCCCAGGCACACAAGAACUGGACAGUGGCUGCAGGAGCACAGUAUCCAGGUCUUAGAGUGGCCAGCUCAAUCCCCGGACAUGAGCCCCAUUGAAAAUCUGUGGUGGAUUAUCAAAAGGUCUGUUUCAAAGCAUAAACCAAAGAAUUUAGAAGAAUUAAAAGCAGUAAUUCAAGAAGAAUGGGACAAGAUUACCCCUCAACAGUGUCAAAGGCUCGUGGGGAACAUGCCAACCAGGAUUAGAGCUCUACUACGUGCCAAUGGCAGGACUACUAAAUAUUAAUUUGAUGAUGUGAUGGUUUAUUUAUUUUUUGUUCAGUUCUGAACACAUUCUCUGUUAUUUGUUGACUUUGAUACCGACAAUGUUGAGAACUGACAUAUUGAAACUGUCAAGAAUUUAGUUUUGUUAGUUUUUCUUGUAAACAAUAAACAAAAAAAAUAUAAUUUGUAUUUGUUUGUAUCUGUCUAAUGCAGCCACACCUUUUGAAACACAAAAAAGAUUUUUCCACAAAUAUUUCAUGAUAAUAUUUGAGAUUGUGUAAAAUUUUAAGGGUGUCCGAAAACUUUUUCCACCACUGUAGACUUUGUAUGAUCGCCGUCAGUGAAGCCCUAUGCCAUAAAAAGAGCAUUUUCCUAUUCCAAAACUCCAACCUUGACUGUUUUGUUGGCCUUCACCUCCAUGGUGGGGCCUGCCCACAAAACAGUUAGGUUUGGAGUUUUGAGCAACUUUGCAUCCUGGGAAACGCAGUCAAACAGAAGAUGAAACUGACCUUUGAGUACAGGAAGAAGAUGACCCACGACCCAGUCAAAUGCUCCACCAUCCUAACUGAAUUCCCACGCUUUCUGGAUGUGAAGGGCUUGAUAAUGCUUUUUAAAAAGUUAGUUUGUAUAUAUGGGGUUACAUCUCUAGAUGCUAAUUCAGGUUGAUGAGUAACUGUAAACAAAAACAACCCUUCCACAAUAGUAGGUGUUCACUUCCUGUGUGAUGAUGGUGAGUGACCUCCAAAACAGUGAUUGAGUAAAACUGGAAGGUAAACCAAAUUGGCUUCACUCAAUGUUUUUUUUUUCUUCUCAGAUUGAACAGGAUUUUGUGCAGCUGUUUGGAGAGGAAACAUCAGCCAAGUUUUUGGAGAAGUGGCCAACUACCUUUAAGCAGAAGAUCAUCCAGCAAAGCAAGACCCUCACCAGUCAGGGAGAUGAACUCCAGGAGCUGAUCUAGAAGGCAGAAUCUACACUUGAUGAGGGAGCUGACACAGAUGCUGACGGAUGGGACAGUGACAUUUCCUCCAUCCUGAUCUUGCUCCAUUUGAUUCCUCCUGCAUCACAAGGCCGCAAAAGAGCAGGCAAGAUGGCUGCAUCCCGAGCCGAGAAUCUUCUUGUGAAAUUCCAAAAGGCAAGAACCAGUAUCCAGCAGCACUUUGAUGCGAUUGACCAGAGCCAACAACCUUACUUUCUUGCGGUCGGGACCAGGAAGAGCAGUAUCCAUGCCUACUACAUCAUCCUGGACAAGCGAGCCUUGCCAUGCAAGUCACUGAGUGCUGUUGGUGUGUUCGAUGAACUGUUCAAGGCACACUUUGUUUUUGGUGCUGCUUACAAUACAAGUCUGUGCAGCAUGUACACCUUAGUACAGACAACAGUGUACAAUAUAGACACUGGGAAGGUUAAGGAAACCCCAAGAGUUGCUCAGCUUAGUGCUCAACUCCUGCACUAAUGCCUCAAGUUUUAUGAUUUAUUUGCCAUGCUCCUCAUGGGAGUACUAACUUGCUUGUGAGGCAUCUCAAGUUGGUGCAUGGAAUGUGCCCAGGUAGAACUUUAUGACUAAAAUGUGGUCAGGCAGGUUGUUAUGGUGUUUUUGCUACCUUUUCAGGCUUUAGGAAGCAUUUGAACAGGGCACAUGCAGAAGAUUGUCCAGUUCCAGUUUUGUUAAAUGCGAACUUGUGUGCUGAGAAAACGACUGAUAAUGAGCUAAGUAAUGUUAAGCCAAGUAAUGUUGAUUUACCUUCCACUUCUAGUUCUAGCCAUGUUGUACCAGUAACUAACAAGACAAGAUUGACAUUGCAGUCAAUUUUGAAGUACCCAAACACAUGUGACAUGUUUAAGUCAGAGCACAAUCUUAAAGAUCUAGUUUACUAUGAUUUGGAAGAUGGGCUACAUAUGAAAAGUCAUCCUCUCUUUUCUAAAGAGAAAAAUGCAUACAAACCCAACUUUUCUAUGAUGGUUUUGAGGCAGGUAAGCUAUUGGGAUCAAAAAAGGGUAUUCAUAGGUAGGUAGGUACUUUAUUAAUCCCCUUGUGGAGAAAUUUAAUUUCAUACAUUGGGGGGUAUAUAUUUUACUUUGAGAAAUGUUUCCCCUAAGUUUAAUUCGAUGUUGAUAAAUAUACACCUGUGUGCACUCUUCCAUACCCAGGACCUUAAAACUUAUGGAUUUGAUUCUAUUCUAUAGUAAGCAAUUUGAAAGUGCUUGAGACUGAGGGUAUUGAAGUUCCCCUUUUUGGUCAUAUACGUAGCAGUAUUGUGCAGGUAACUGGAGACAAUCUUGGCAUACAUGCCUGUUUGGUUUUGUGGAGUCAUUUAGUGCUCGUUAUUGUUGCCGGUUCUGUCUCACUGAGAAAGUGGAUUUUCAAACUGUGUUUUUUUGAAGAUGACCCAAGAGUGAUUUUAUGAACAAAACACAUGCACUCAGAGCAUUGUAAAUCUAUGCAGUCAAAUCCAACAGCACCUCAUGUGUACGGUGUGAAAGAUGCUUGCUGAUUGAACUCUCUGCAGUAUUUCAAUACGACUGAGAAUUUUUCUGUUGAUGUAAUGCACAACAUUUUAGAAAGAGUGGCACAAUUUCAGUUAAAACUUGUGUUACAGUAUUACCAACUGUAUGACUGUAAAAGAUUUGUGCUAUAGAGUUCAAUCAUUUAACUUUGGGUACACACAGGAGCAAUCGUCCACAUGCAGUCAAACUGGAUGAUGGAAGCAAUGAUUUGGGACUAAAUGCUUCUCAGUCUUGGUGUUUUCGCCGCCAUUUUCCAUUGAUAUUUGGUGAUCUCUUACAGAAAGGUGAUUCAUAUUGGCAGCUCCUUCUCUUACUACUGCAAAUUGUAAAGAUUAUUUUUUCUCCUGUUCUAACUGAGGCUGUGACUAUAUAUCUGAAGCACUUAAUUGCUGAACAUCAUAGGCUUUUCAAGUAUUUGUUUCCUCAUAGGAAUCUCCUGUCGAAACACCACUUUAUGACACAUUAUCCACGUUGUAUCAGAAAUAUUGGAACCAUUCUUCACUCAUGGUGUAUGCGCCAUGAGGUGAAACACAAUUUCUUUAAAAAGCAACUAAAGAGUUUUAAGAAUGUCACUUUGACCUUAUCCAAGAAACACCAACAUUAUGUAGCAUAUAAUUGGGAAACAUUUAGCCAGGAUAGAUUAAUUAUAGGUCCAGGAAAGAUGUCAGAGAUCAGUGAUCUGAUUUCAGCCAAGUUAACUGUCUCAGUGGACGCAGAGGUUUUGUCAGUUAAAUGGGUGAAACACCAUGGUGCAGAAUAUUGCCUUGAUUUCACUUUUCCAAGUGAAAUACCAGUCUUUUACAAAAUUAAGGAUAUUGUUGUAAAAGAGGAAAGUAUUUGUUUUGAUGAUCAUUUGCAUGCAUUUAAAGUUGUUUUGAAGCGAAGUUCACCAUGCAAGGUUUUUCAUGUGAAUGUCAUUGUGUACCACAAACCUUUUGAUUUGCUCAUGUCAUAUGAAGCAAGGGAUUAUUUUGAUUAUAUUGUCCCCUACUGUAAUUUGAUAAAUUUAAAUUAGAGUUGAGACUCAGUAUAUCCACCCACUUCACUUCCACAUUCCUCCCUGACCAACUUGAAGAGGAUCCUGGACCUGGCUCUGUAGAGUGUACGUGACAUACAUAAAUUAUUUAUUAUUUCCUAUAAUGUAGCCCAACUAUUGUAAUAGCAUCAUAGUCACCGUUUCAGGUGGCCUCCCACCAUUUUGUUUUACUUAAAGGUGCUUUCAGUGAUUUGACCAAAAAUAACAAAAGAAAAUGCGAUUUUCACUAACAAUCCCCCACUGCUCACUGUCUCCCUCUUGUAGCUGUAAUUUAUCUCAAAAACUGUAGACUCACGGGUGGUGGCAUUGGAUUUGGGGUGAAAAAAUACAUAUAUGAGGCUAUAUGGUCGUUAAUCUAUUUAAUCUUCUGAUUUCCAGAAUAUGUAAUCAUUUCUCCGAUUGGAUUGAGAGCAGUCACCCAGUCUGCUGCACACACCACAAAUUUUCUCCUCUGUUCCCACUGCAAUUCUUCUAUUUCAACA
This is a long non-coding RNA of Epinephelus fuscoguttatus (brown-marbled grouper), 5825 nucleotides long. RefSeq lists it as uncharacterized. The transcript is spliced from 3 exons. NCBI's taxonomy places the organism in Eukaryota, Metazoa, Chordata, Actinopteri, Perciformes, Serranidae. The record is from RefSeq and is a predicted model, not a curated record.